CCUACGGGGGGCUGCAGUGGGGAAUAUUGCACAAUGGGGGAAACCCUGAUGCAGCAACGCCGCGUGAGCGAUGAAGGCCUUCGGGUCGUAAAGCUCUGUCCUAAGGGAAGAAUACUGACGGUACCUUAGGCGGAAACCCCGGCGAACACCGCGCCAGCGGCCGCGGUAAUACGUGGGGGGCUCGCGUGAUCGGGAUUAUCUGGGGGUAAAGGGUGCGUAGGCGGCCGUUAAAGUCAGAGGUGAAAGGCUACGGCUCAACCGUAGUAAGCCUUUGAAACUGUAGGGCUUGAGUGCAGGAGAGGAGAGUGGAAUUCCCAGUGUAGCGGUGAAAUGCGUAGAUAUUGGGAGGAACACCAGUUGCGAAGGCGGCUCUCUGGACUGUAACUGACGCUGAGGCACGAAAGCGUGGGGAGCGAACAGGAUUAGAUACCCGAGUAGUC
Molecule: ribosomal RNA, 440 nt
Filed under: uncultured bacterium
Lineage: Bacteria
Description: bacterial SSU rRNA
Rfam family: Bacterial small subunit ribosomal RNA
Source: RNAcentral